GAAUUUCGUUGAAUUGGAGUAGCAGGAAGUGAUUGAGGUGAAAAACGGAAUCUUCUGAGCAAAUUAGCAGAUUCUUUUCGGAGAAACAUCAUUUGAUUAAGUCCAAAAUUGAACUACGUGAAUUUGAAAAUUAAAGAAAAACUAUGAAUUUAUUGUUAGGUUUAUCGGUCAAGGAACUAUUAAAAAUAUGUCAUAUUUAUAUUCCAUUUGAAUUUUUUAUCAAACACUUUUCUAUAUUUUUUAGUAGCAUGUAUCAUGUUAUGAUUGGACAUGAUUGGACCAGAUGAUACACCUCAUUUCUUUAAUUAAACCCGCUCAGACCCAAUCCUUUUAACAGACGGUCAGACUCAAUUCCAAAUUGACACGUGGCAAAAAUCUGUAGAUACACAACUGAAAUAGCUAACCCAUAUCCAAAAUUUGGAUCUUUCCUCCUAAAACAAAUCAAACUAUGUACCAUCUUUUCCGAUAUCAGGAAAAAAAAGGAAAUUUUAUGAUACAAUCAUCUUCAACAUCUCCUUCUUCCUCAUCCCUACCCAAAAACGGACAAACUCUUAUCAAGAAACUUGUUGAAUCUCGGCUCUUAGCAUCUCCUUAAAACAAAUAUAUGGAACUAGCUGUAGGC
Molecule: long non-coding RNA, 622 nt
Filed under: Nicotiana benthamiana
Lineage: Eukaryota; Viridiplantae; Streptophyta; Magnoliopsida; Solanales; Solanaceae
Description: long non-coding RNA (NBEN_LNC032500)
Source: RNAcentral